UACGGAGGGUGCAAGCGUUGCUCGGAAUUAUUGGGCGUAAAGGGCAGGUAGGUGGUCUCAUUUGUCUGGGGUGAAAUCCUUGGGCUUAACCCAAGAAGUGCCCCGGAAACGGUGAGACUAGAGUUUUGGAGAGGGUCGUGGAAUUCCCGGUGUAGCGGUGAAAUGCGUAGAGAUCGGGAGGAACACCAGAGGCGAAAGCGGCGACCUGGACAAUGACUGACACUCAACUGCGAAAGCGUGGGGAGCAAACAGG
This 253-nucleotide ribosomal RNA is filed under the name uncultured bacterium. Its description in RNAcentral is "partial 16S ribosomal RNA". It matches the Rfam family "Bacterial small subunit ribosomal RNA", at positions 524 to 776 of the family's 1533-position model. The record is from RNAcentral.